Molecule: long non-coding RNA, 276 nt
Organism: Bos indicus x Bos taurus (hybrid cattle)
Lineage: Eukaryota; Metazoa; Chordata; Mammalia; Artiodactyla; Bovidae
Source: Ensembl
ACCUUGGUAAAUGAAGUCAUUCUCAAAAAAUAUCUUAAGGUAAAGGUUGAGAUUACCUGUGAAUCUAAGAGAGAGGAGUAGAGUCCUGGGCCUUAUAGCUAAGAAGCACAAGCAGCCAGGAAAGAAGCCGGGGCUGGACCUCGGCAGGUAAGAAGAAGCUGAUACAAGAACAGGAAGAAAACCAGAAUAAGCAGAAUCCAAGAGAGGAUCAUGUUUCAAGGUGGGCAGAAAAUAUUUUUUGUUUUGGGGCUAGACAGAAGGGAAUUGGGCCAGCGC